GUGAUCAAGAAUUAUAUCCAGG
RNAcentral lists this microRNA (22 nucleotides) under Ananas comosus (pineapple). RNAcentral describes it as "microRNA s0970_c124a". Lineage: Eukaryota; Viridiplantae; Streptophyta; Magnoliopsida; Poales; Bromeliaceae. The record is from RNAcentral.